RNAcentral lists this ribosomal RNA (219 nucleotides) under Triticum aestivum (bread wheat). RNAcentral's name for it is "partial small subunit ribosomal RNA". The record is from RNAcentral. Lineage: Eukaryota; Viridiplantae; Streptophyta; Magnoliopsida; Poales; Poaceae.
AUGCUGGGAGAAGAUCCAGGGUGGCAGGAUGAACACAAAGCAAUAUCUGAAUGGCGUAAGUUGAUGGGUGGUCGAGGACACCGUCAAGGCAACCUCACCAUCCCAGAAAGAAGACACUGGCAAGGAUAUCACUUACUUCGAGGCAUGGACCAUCAAACGUACCAAAGACGACAAGGACAAGGACCCUCUCCACCCGGAGAGGGACUGGAUCAGCUCUAA